RNAcentral lists this ribosomal RNA (457 nucleotides) under uncultured bacterium. RNAcentral describes it as "bacterial SSU rRNA". It matches the Rfam family "Bacterial small subunit ribosomal RNA", at positions 1 to 507 of the family's 1533-position model. The record is from RNAcentral.
ACGUAGUUUGACUCCGUGGCUCAAGAAGACGCUGGCGGCAGGCCUAACACAUGCAAGUCGAACGCUGUAGCAAUACAGAGUGGCAGACGGGUGAGUAACACGUGGGAACCUACCUAUUGGUACGGAAUAGCUCAGGGAAACUUGAGGUAAUACCGUAUACGCCCUUACGGGGAAAGAUUUAUCGCCGAUAGAUGGGCCCGCGUCUGAUUAGCUAGUUGGUGAGGUAAUGGCUCACCAAGGCGACGAUCAGUAGCUGGUUUGAGAGAAUGACCAGCCACACUGGGACUGAGACACGGCCCAGACUCCCUACGGGAGGCAGCAGUGGGGAAUCUUGGACAAUGGGCGCAAGCCUGAUCCAGCCAUGCCGCGUGAGUGACGAAGGCCUUAGGGUUGUAAAGCUUCUUUGGCGGGGACGAUAAUGACGGUACCCGCAGAAUAAGCCCUGGCUAACUUCGUG